AGAGUUUGAUCCUGGCUCAGAACGAACGCUGGCGGCGCGCCUAAUACAUGCAAGUCGAGCGAGAAGGUGUAGCAAUACACUUGUAAAGCGGCGAACGGGUGAGGAAUGCAUGGGUAACCUACCCUCGAGUGGGGAAUAACUAGCCGAAAGGUUAGCUAAUACCGCAUACGUUUCCGGAACUUCGGUUGCGGAAAGAAAGCAAUACCGUGGGUAUUGCGCUCAUGGAUGGGCUCAUGUCCUAUCAGCUUGUUGGUGAGGUAACGGCUCACCAAGGCUUCGACGGGUAGCUGGUCUGAGAGGACGAUCAGC
This 309-nucleotide ribosomal RNA is filed under the name uncultured bacterium. RNAcentral's name for it is "bacterial SSU rRNA". It matches the Rfam family "Bacterial small subunit ribosomal RNA", at positions 8 to 308 of the family's 1533-position model. The record is from RNAcentral.